UCCCCUCCCCCACUUCCUUCUCUGGCUUCGAGUCUUGAGUGGGGAUCUGCAGUUGCAGGAAAAGCGAAACAGGAGAAAAAAGCCGAGAGUUGCACUGCGCGUCAGUUUUGCAGAUCUAGCGAGAGAAAACGAGCGAGCAGGGUGCAAAAUAACUGGGAAAGCAUGUUAAAGUUGCAACUUCGGUUCUUACGUCGUCAAUACAAAAGAUGCAAGUAAAGAAGGACGCUGUUUUGCAGAAGUAAAAGAUUGGCUGGUGUGUUUGAGAGCGUGCACUGUGUGGAGGGAGAGGGGGGACGCAGUGAUGAAAACACCGUUUGCAAGCCGACACAUUCAAGGUAUUUCAUUUUACAAACAGCUCUGGCACAAUCCGAUUAGGAAUUCUUGCUUUUUGCUAGAGACUCUAAAAAAUAACUUCUAAGAAAAAAUAUCCCCGCCGAGAGUCCUGGGCUCGAGAUCUUAAACGCAGCAGCAGCAGGAGCGCGUGCACGCGUGACGCCGUACGUUUUUUUUUAUUACGACUACUGCACAGAACUACACAGCAAGCCUGGCGCGAGUUUCAAAUUGUGAUGUGCUAAACUGUGUUAAUAUUUUGUGCAAAGCAGUUUGCAAGACGAAAAACAGACAACGACGGAGCAGAAUUGGUUCUGAGAAGCAUUUAUAAAUGCCUUAUUUUGCAGGACCAAUGCGAAAUCCAUGAUGAAAGGAAAAGCUGCUUGAUCGAAUGGAGACCCCUUUUCAUUUUGGGGGGAAAAAAUCACAUGGAUUGUGGGUGAUGCUUAACAAAAACAACACCACAAAACAAAGAUAACCCGAAGCGAUGCACAAAACAAAGGCGUUUUUAAAGAGAUAGUAUGAUGACCAAGGUGCAUGCACGCUUGAAACUGAAGCGUUAUUGGAAAGGGAAGAUUGCAUUUAUCCCCCCCCCCCGAAGGAGGACACCAGUCAAGACUACAAAUAUGCAAAGGUCAAGCGCUGACACAUUUUAGAUCCAGCAUUUAGUGGCGGAUUGCAGAUUGAAUGUGGAUGUUCCUUCGCUCAACCUGGCAUCUACAAGCAACUUCAGUACAGCGACUGAAUUGUUCCCCUUAUUUUUCUUUUCCAAUAAUUUAUAUUUUUUGGAGAGGGGUGAUGGGGGUUGGGGGAUGAGCUACUGUUAUUAAGAUUGUGUUACAAACUGUUUAUAAUCAGACAUUUACGGCAAAGACUAUUUUGUGUUCAUAUAACACGUGUGUGUGUGUAUUUAUUUAUUUAUUUAUUUAUCUAUCUAUCUAUAUUUCCAAUGUGUGUAUUUACCAGUAUGGCAUGCAUACUUGCUUAAUAUUAAAUGACAGUCUUUACUCCAGUGCUUUAUGUAUUUAUUUCAGGGAGUAUGUAUUUCUUUUCUUCCGUGACGAUUUUAGUGGCGUGUUUAAAACGAAGUGUAUUUCAAAAAAUGUAGGCGACAAUAAAUUCGUAGCAUUUUUUUU
Acipenser ruthenus (sterlet) is the source of this 1466-nucleotide long non-coding RNA. RefSeq lists it as uncharacterized. The transcript has 2 exons. The record is from RefSeq and is a predicted model, not a curated record. NCBI's taxonomy places the organism in Eukaryota, Metazoa, Chordata, Actinopteri, Acipenseriformes, Acipenseridae.